UGCAGGGUAACAUUAUUGUUAGUGAAGGUGACACUAGAAUCAAGAGAACGAGUUAAACGACUGACUGAAAGUAAAUUAAAUGGACAAUUAGGUACAUAGAGGACAUAACUAACCAAGAGAGAAGGUAGAAUUUGAAUGGUACCAAUCCGUUCAAAUCGGGUUUGAGGAUCAUUGGCAGAAGUUAUAGUAGGUAAGGAACCGGAUGUAGAGAGGGAAGAGAAAAGAUUUUUAUUACCGGUAACA
This 243-nucleotide long non-coding RNA is filed under the name Lathyrus oleraceus (garden pea). Its description in RNAcentral is "Pisum sativum (pea) long non-coding RNA (PSAT_LNC032525)". Lineage: Eukaryota; Viridiplantae; Streptophyta; Magnoliopsida; Fabales; Fabaceae. The record is from RNAcentral.